GGUCCUGUAGCUCAGUGGUUAGAGCGAUGGUUUUACGAGCCGUUGGCCGUGGGUUCGACCUCCGCUGGGGCUA
Molecule: transfer RNA, 73 nt
Filed under: Perkinsus olseni
Lineage: Eukaryota; Perkinsozoa; Perkinsida; Perkinsidae
Description: tRNA-Val
Rfam family: tRNA
About the family: Transfer RNA (tRNA) molecules are approximately 80 nucleotides in length. Their secondary structure includes four short double-helical elements and three loops (D, anti-codon, and T loops). Further hydrogen bonds mediate the characteristic L-shaped molecular structure. tRNAs have two regions of fundamental functional importance: the anti-codon, which is responsible for specific mRNA codon recognition, and the 3' end, to which the tRNAs corresponding amino acid is attached (by aminoacyl-tRNA synthetases). tRNAs cope with the degeneracy of the genetic code in two manners: having more than one tRNA (with a specific anti-codon) for a particular amino acid; and 'wobble' base-pairing, i.e. permitting non-standard base-pairing at the 3rd anti-codon position.
Source: RNAcentral